Molecule: ribosomal RNA, 513 nt
Filed under: uncultured Bacteroidales bacterium
Lineage: Bacteria; Pseudomonadati; Bacteroidota; Bacteroidia; Bacteroidales
Description: bacterial SSU rRNA
Rfam family: Bacterial small subunit ribosomal RNA
Source: RNAcentral
GAUGAACGCUAGCUACAGGCUUAACACAUGCAAGUCGAGGGGAAACGACAUCGAAAGCUUGCUUUUGAUGGGCGUCGACCGGCGCACGGGUGAGUAACGCGUAUCCAACCUGCCCACCACUUGGGGAUAACCUUGCGAAAGUAAGACUAAUACCCAAUGAUAUCUCUAGAAGACAUCUGAAGGAGAUUAAAGAUUUAUCGGUGAUGGAUGGGGAUGCGUCUGAUUAGCUUGUUGGCGGGGUAACGGCCCACCAAGGCAACGAUCAGUAGGGGUUCUGAGAGGAAGGUCCCCCACAGUGGAACUGAGACACGGUCCAAACUCCUACGGGAGGCAGCAGUGAGGAAUAUUGGUCAAUGGGCGAGAGCCUGAACCAGCCAAGUAGCGUGCAGGAUGACGGCCCUAUGGGUUGUAAACUGCUUUUAUAAGGGAAUAAAGUGAGUCUCGUGAGACUUUUUGCAUGUACCUUAUGAAUAAGGACCGGCUAAUUCCGUGCCAGCAGCCGCGGUAAAAGGG